GGUCCUGCUGCGGGGGCUUCUGGGAGAGAAACAUGGCGGCGCCCGGGCUGCUGCCCGGCGUGGGCAGGCUCAUUGAGAUGCCCGCCGCGCUGGGGCGCUUGAGCCGAGCUUACAGCAAGUCCCACGCCUUCACGGAGGUUCUGCAGCUGCCAAAAAUGGAACUGACGAAGCUCGUGUUCCCGUUACAGGAACUCCAGCGGCAUCUCCUCCCUGACGCCAAGCCCGACCUUCUUCAACUGAGGAUCUUUGACCCGAGCCUGGAGGCCAUCGCGAGGGCGGAGAGCUUCUUCACGGCCACCCCGCGGAACCGCAUCGAGUACGUCAGCUCGGCGGUGCGCCUGGACCACGCCCCCGACCUCCCCCGCCCGGAGGUGUGUUUUAUAGGCAGAAGCAAUGUUGGAAAAUCCUCUCUAAUAAAGGCUUUGUUUUCAUUGGCUCCAGAGGUUGAAGUCAGAGUCUCCAAAACCCCGGGACACACAAAGAAAAUGAAUUUUUUCAAAGUUGGAAAAUAUUUUACAUUGGUGGACAUGCCAGGUUAUGGCUAUCGAGCACCUGAAGAUUUUGUUGAUAUGGUAGAGACCUAUCUAAAAGAACGAAAGAAUUUGCUGAGAACAUUUUUGUUAGUGGAUAGUGUUGUCGGAAUUCAGAAAGCAGACAAUAUUGCCAUAGAAAUGUGUGAAGAUUUUGCAUUACCUUAUGUAAUGGUGUUAACAAAAAUUGACAAACCUUCCAAGGGACGUCUUUUAAAACAGGUGCUCGAGAUCCAGAAAUUUGUUGACACUAAAACACAAGGAUGUUUUCCUCAGUUGUUUCCUGUAAGCAGCUGAAGAAGUUCAAGAGGAUUUGAAGUCUCACCAUCCUUAUAAACGACUUGACUGUUCUAAUGCCACCAGAAGUGGUUAAAUUGGUAUUCACUAUGGCACUACAGUAGUUUCUAACGUAAUUUACUAGAAGAAUCAGAGGAUCUGAAUUGACUUAUAGAUCUCCAACACCCCGAGCAAAAACCUUCAUUUCCUCACCUAUACAAUGGGGAUAAUACUGCCUACCCCACAAUUACUGUGGGCACGAAGUAGAUCAGCAAAACACACUAUAUAUUUGUGAAAUACAAAAUAAUGGUUUAACCAAAUAAAUACCAGUUUGUUAUCCUUUUCAUGAA
RNA transcript from Myotis lucifugus (little brown bat), 1156 nucleotides. It is a transcript of the gene named GTP binding protein 8 (putative), with no coding region annotated. Lineage: Eukaryota; Metazoa; Chordata; Mammalia; Chiroptera; Vespertilionidae. The record is from RefSeq and is a predicted model, not a curated record. The transcript is spliced from 7 exons.